This 449-nucleotide ribosomal RNA is filed under the name uncultured bacterium. Its description in RNAcentral is "partial 16S ribosomal RNA". It matches the Rfam family "Bacterial small subunit ribosomal RNA", at positions 329 to 794 of the family's 1533-position model. The record is from RNAcentral.
UACCAGACUCCUACGGGAGGCAGCAGUGGGGAAUAUUGCACAAUGGGGGAAACCCUGAUGCAGCAACGCCGCGUGAAGGAAGACGGUUUUCGGAUUGUAAACUUCUGUUCUUAGUGAAGAAUAAUGACGGUAGCUAAGGAGCAAGCCACGGCUAACUACGUGCCAGCAGCCGCGGUAAUACGUAGGGGGCAAGCGUUAUCCGGAUUUACUGGGUGUAAAGGGAGCGUAGACGGCGGCGCAAGUCCGGAGUGAAAGCCCACGGCCCAACCGUGGGACUGCUCUGGAAACUGUGCGGCUUGAGUGCGGGAGGGGCAGGCGGAAUUCCUAGUGUAGCGGUGAAAUGCGUAGAUAUUAGGAGGAACACCGGCGGCGAAGGCGGCCUGCUGGACCGUAACUGACGUUGAGGCUCGAAAGCGUGGGGAGCAAACAGGAUUAGAUACCCCAGUAAU